GACGAACGCUGGCGGCGUGCUUAACACAUGCAAGUCGAACGGAAAGGCCCUGCUUUUGUGGGGUGCUCGAUUGGCGAACGGGUGAGUAACACGUGAGUAACCUGCCCUUGACUGUGGGAUAAAUUUAGGAAACUGGGGCUAAUACCGGAUAGGAGCUCCUGAUGCAUGGUGGGGGUUGGAAAGUUUCGGCGGUUGGGGAUGGACUCGCGGCGGAUCAGCUUGUUGGUGGAGUAGUGGCUUACCAAGGUUUUGACGGGUAGCCGGCCUGAGAGGGUGACCGGCCACAGUGGGACUGCGAUAGGCCCCAGAAUCGUACGGGAGGCAGCAGUGGGGAAUAUUGCACAAUGGGCGGAAGCCUGAUGCAGCAACGCCGCGUGCGGGAUGACGGCCUUCGGGUUGUAAACCGCUUUCGCCUGUGACGAAGCGUGAGUGACGGUAAUGGGUAAAAAAGCACCGGCUAACUACGUG
This 468-nucleotide ribosomal RNA is filed under the name uncultured bacterium. RNAcentral describes it as "partial 16S ribosomal RNA". It matches the Rfam family "Bacterial small subunit ribosomal RNA", at positions 28 to 507 of the family's 1533-position model. The record is from RNAcentral.